CCCGGCAGCGACCUGUCCCUGUUCCAGCCGGCGUCCCAGGGCAUCUCGCGAUAAUUUGUGAUUUGGGGGCGGGACCCAGUCAGGAAUAGCGCACAAAACUGCCCUUAAGUCAUUGCAGAGCUGCAGCUCCGGUUAGCCGGCCACGAGGUUCUCGCGAGACCCGCCUGCUCAAUACCAAGUGAGGAAACUAGGGGACGAGGUUGGGAGGGGCGUGGGACUGCACCGCGCAGCUGCUGCUUUCAUUACCUUCCUCCCAUGGUCUCCUUCCGGUUCUCGAUGCUUCUCUGAGUCUGUUUCCGCCACUCGUCUCCCCCCGCCCUCAGCCCAUGACCCGCCUCCGUCCCCCGCCCUCCCAGUCCAACCUCAGAUCCGUUUAGUAAGAAGGGGCUGUUCCGAAAAGGACGAGGAAAGGGGGUGGCACAGAUUCGCUCGGCCAGGGACGUGGGAAGUAAACCGUUCCCCUUCACCCUUAGAUUCAUCCUGUGCUCGCGACGGCGGCGUUGGCGGACUGAUACGCGGCGGUGAAGAGGCAGGAGGAGGGGGGAGGGGCGGAGCGUGGCAGCUGGCAGUAGUUCCGUCAGAGCGGACAUCUUGUGGCUGUGUCGUGCGCGUGAGCCCCGUAGGGCCGGGGAGGCACCAGCUGCCGCGCGGGGAGGAGGCCGAGGCCGCAGCUUGAGGGAGGCCCCGGCCCCUCUGUACGCGUGGGUGUGGACAGCUAGGGGAAGGGAAGGGAGGCCGGCCCACUGGCCGGCCGGGUAAGAGGGGAAAUACGGGCCCUGGGUGGUUUGAGUGGCCAGCCUGUUGGGUUGGGUGGGGUAGGGCGGGGAGGCUGGAGAAACCCGGGCCUCUUCUACUUAAAGGGGAGGGGGAAUGGGCGCGUCCUCGCGCCUAAGCCGGAGCUUCAGGGGCAGCACGGGCGCGUGGCGGUGGUGGUGGCUAGGCGGGCGCGCGCGCGAGCGCGCUGGAAGGCGGAGUGUACGGUGGCGUCAGGGGCGACACUGAAUAGCUAUAGCUUCGGGGAGAGGAACACACAUUAAGUCUAUUUCUUCAUUUCCUUUUCUACCCCGGCCAAACCUUCGAGCCGAAACCGAAAGAAGCCCGGCGUCAGUCCGGAGACUCCUGUUUCCCCCUCCCCCCUUGCCUUUCUUUGCCCUAGUGACGCCGGCAUAGCGCCGACUAGGCCCCGGCUCCUCCUCUGCUGGGCUCCGGACCCUGCCCCGCACCCACCCCUUUCUCCUACGCUUCCUCCUCACCCACCCGGGUCUCUUCCUUUGGAGAGACCGGGAAGUUAAACUUGUAGCCACCCCUCCGUUCUUCCCGUCACCUUCGCCCCCACUUCGGUCCGAAGCACGGCAUAGAGGCUGUUGGUGGCUUUGCCACCCCACCCACCCCGGAUCGCGACCGUUUUAAGGGACCUGGAAUCUUCAGGGUCUCUCCGGGGCCAGUGCAAGUGCUGAUCUGCUCCGUUUUUGCAAAAAGGCGCCUGUGUCUGGCACAGCGGUG
Molecule: long non-coding RNA, 1503 nt
Filed under: Marmota monax (woodchuck)
Lineage: Eukaryota; Metazoa; Chordata; Mammalia; Rodentia; Sciuridae
Source: RNAcentral